Molecule: long non-coding RNA, 536 nt
Organism: Acipenser ruthenus (sterlet)
Lineage: Eukaryota; Metazoa; Chordata; Actinopteri; Acipenseriformes; Acipenseridae
Exons: 2
Source: RefSeq, a predicted model, not a curated record
UAGUGUUUUCUUUGUGUGCUGUUUUCUGUUUGUUUUGCGACCAGUGAAGACAACGCCCAGCCUGGAAACUUUAUUUGGCUGCAGCAGAAUGCAGCUCCAGCUGGAAUAUGUUCAUCAUGUGGGGAGCCCUUCAAGUGUACAGCAUCCAACUAUCUGUACACCUGCCUCUCCAGCAACAGACAGCACUCAGGAAAACAGCAUUUUUCAGCAUGUGUUUGAAUGCCUUCACUUGUUUUUGUUUUCUAUUUAGAAAUAAAUCAGCAAAUGAUCUGCUUACUUUGAGUCAAUGAGUGUGCAAUUAUAUAUGAUCCAAUUGAACAUUUUCAGCCCUGAAGGCACAUGGACCCCAUGCAUAAUUCCCCAUUCUGUUUUGAGACUAGGGUCUAUUUGAAUGAUCUAAACAGAGGCAGAUCUAAAUACCGCCGUCCUGAAAUCUCUAGAUGUUUUCCAGCAGACCCAUCAUCUGUAGUAAUGUUAAGUGGGUCAAUAAAUGAGACUUGAGUGGAAAACACCAGCAAGAUAAUUGGAGAUGUUUU